RNAcentral lists this ribosomal RNA (497 nucleotides) under uncultured bacterium. RNAcentral describes it as "bacterial SSU rRNA". It matches the Rfam family "Bacterial small subunit ribosomal RNA", at positions 28 to 533 of the family's 1533-position model. The record is from RNAcentral.
GAUGAACGCUGGCGGCGUGCCUAAUACAUGCAAGUCGAACGAGGUGCCUUUGUAGCAAUACGAAGGUAUCCUAGUGGCGAACGGGUGAGUAACGCGUUGGUGACCUACCCCAAAGUGUGGGAUAACAGAUCGAAAGAUCUGCUAAUACCGCAUGUGGUCUUCGGAUUUAGAAACUGAUGACUAAAGGAGCAAUUCGCUUUGGGAGGGACCUGCGUCCCAUCAGCUAGUUGGUGAGGUAAUGGCUCACCAAGGCUACGACGGGUAGGGGACCUGAGAGGGUGGCCCCCCACAAUGGAACUGAAACACGGUCCAUACACCUACGGGUGGCAGCAGUAGGGAAUAUUGCACAAUGGGCGAAAGCCUGAUGCAGCAACGCCGCGUGUGCGAUGAAGGCCUUCGGGUCGUAAAGCACUUUUCUGAGGGAUGAGCAAGGACAGUACCUCAGGAAUAAGUUUCGGCUAACUACGUGCCAGCAGCCGCGGUAAUCUGAGUCGGAG